RNAcentral lists this long non-coding RNA (222 nucleotides) under Elaeis guineensis (African oil palm). Its description in RNAcentral is "long non-coding RNA (EGUI_LNC063781)". Lineage: Eukaryota; Viridiplantae; Streptophyta; Magnoliopsida; Arecales; Arecaceae. The record is from RNAcentral.
CUUGAGAAACAUCUUAUGGAAUCAACUUAUCUAUCAAAAGAUAUUUUCUUAUAGUGAGAGUUGUGCAUGUAAUCCUUUGACUUGAGACUAUCAUAGAACAUUAUAUACAUGAAUCUAUAUUUUGGUUCAUAUUCAUGCAUGACUUAGUCAUGUACGGGAUGAUCUGGAUAUGGUGAAAUAUGCAUGAAGGUUGUGAGAAUAUCAACAUAGAAUCGAUCACUC